Molecule: ribosomal RNA, 252 nt
Filed under: uncultured bacterium
Lineage: Bacteria
Description: partial 16S ribosomal RNA
Rfam family: Bacterial small subunit ribosomal RNA
Source: RNAcentral
UACGUAGGGGCCUAGCGUUGUCCGGAAUUACUAGGCGUAAAGGGUGCGUAGGUGGUUUCUUAAGUCAGAGGUGAAAGGCUACGGCUCAACCGUAGUAAGCCUUUGGAACUGGGAAACUUGAGUGCAGGAGAGGAGAGUGGAAUUCCUAGUGUAGCGGUGAAAUGCGUAGAUAUUAGGAGGAACACCAGUUGCGAAGGCGGCUCUCUGGACUGUAACUGACACUGAGGCACGAAAGCGUGGGGAGCAAACAGG